CAGCAGCCACGGGAAUACGUAGGGGGCAAGCGUUGUCCGGAAUUAUUGGGCGUAAAGCGCGCGCAGGCGGUCUUUUAAGUCUGGUGUCUAAGUGCGGGGCUCGACCCCGUGACGCACUGGAAACUGGGAGACUUGAGUGCAGAAGAGGAGAGCUGAAUUCCACGUGUAGCGGUGAAAUGCGUAGAGAUGUGGAGGAACACCAGUGGCGAAGGCGGCUCUCUGGACUGUAACUGACGCUGAGGCGCGAAAGCGUGGGGAGCAAACAGGAUUAGAUACCCGUGUAGUCCCUGUCUCUUAUACA
RNAcentral lists this ribosomal RNA (301 nucleotides) under uncultured bacterium. Its description in RNAcentral is "partial 16S ribosomal RNA". It matches the Rfam family "Bacterial small subunit ribosomal RNA", at positions 509 to 808 of the family's 1533-position model. The record is from RNAcentral.